Molecule: transfer RNA, 73 nt
Filed under: Trichonephila inaurata madagascariensis
Lineage: Eukaryota; Metazoa; Arthropoda; Arachnida; Araneae; Nephilidae
Rfam family: tRNA
About the family: Transfer RNA (tRNA) molecules are approximately 80 nucleotides in length. Their secondary structure includes four short double-helical elements and three loops (D, anti-codon, and T loops). Further hydrogen bonds mediate the characteristic L-shaped molecular structure. tRNAs have two regions of fundamental functional importance: the anti-codon, which is responsible for specific mRNA codon recognition, and the 3' end, to which the tRNAs corresponding amino acid is attached (by aminoacyl-tRNA synthetases). tRNAs cope with the degeneracy of the genetic code in two manners: having more than one tRNA (with a specific anti-codon) for a particular amino acid; and 'wobble' base-pairing, i.e. permitting non-standard base-pairing at the 3rd anti-codon position.
Source: Rfam by way of RNAcentral
AUCCAUGUAGCGCAAUGGAUAGCGCUUUGGACUUCUAAUCCAAAGGUCGUGGUUUCAAUUUCCACCUGGGAUG